GUGCCAGCCGCCGCGGUAAUACGUAGGGGUCGAGCGUUGUCCGGACUUACUGGGCGUAAAGCGUGGGUAGGUGGUCGGUGAUGUGCCGUGUGAAAGCCCCGCGUUCAUCGGGGGGAGGUCGCGGUAGACACAUUGACUUGAGGCAUACAGAGGGCCGUGGAAUUCCCGGUGUAGUGGUGAAAUGCGUAGAUAUCGGGAGGAACACCAGUGGCGCAAGCGGCGGCCUGGGUAUGACCUGACACUGAGCCACGACGGCGUGGGGAGCAAACGGGAUUAGAUACCCGUGUAGUCC
This 292-nucleotide ribosomal RNA is filed under the name uncultured bacterium. RNAcentral's name for it is "partial 16S ribosomal RNA". It matches the Rfam family "Bacterial small subunit ribosomal RNA", at positions 505 to 796 of the family's 1533-position model. The record is from RNAcentral.